Molecule: ribosomal RNA, 1372 nt
Filed under: uncultured bacterium
Lineage: Bacteria
Description: bacterial SSU rRNA
Rfam family: Bacterial small subunit ribosomal RNA
Source: RNAcentral
GAUGAACGCUGGCGGCGUGCCUAAUACAUGCAAGUCGAGCGAACGGACGAGAAGCUUGCUUCUCUGAUGUUAGCGGCGGACGGGUGAGUAACACGUGGAUAACCUACCUAUAAGACUGGGAUAACUUCGGGAAACCGGAGCUAAUACCGGAUAAUAUUUUGAACCGCAUGGUUCAAAAGUGAAAGACGGUCUUGCUGUCACUUAUAGAUGGAUCCGCGCUGCAUUAGCUAGUUGGUAAGGUAACGGCUUACCAAGGCAACGAUGCAUAGCCGACCUGAGAGGGUGAUCGGCCACACUGGAACUGAGACACGGUCCAGGCUCCUACGGGAGGCAGCAGUAGGGAAUCUUCCGCAAUGGGCGAAAGCCUGACGGAGCAACGCCGCGUGAGUGAUGAAGGUCUUCGGAUCGUAAAACUCUGUUAUUAGGGAAGAACAUAUGUGUAAGUAACUGUGCACAUCUUGACGGUACCUAAUCAGAAAGCCACGGCUAACUACGUGCCAGCAGCCGCGGUAAUACGUAGGUGGCAAGCGUUAUCCGGAAUUAUUGGGCGUAAAGCGCGCGUAGGCGGUUUUUUAAGUCUGAUGUGAAAGCCCACGGCUCAACCGUGGAGGGUCAUUGGAAACUGGAAAACUUGAGUGCAGAAGAGGAAAGUGGAAUUCCAUGUGUAGCGGUGAAAUGCGCAGAGAUAUGGAGGAACACCAGUGGCGAAGGCGACUUUCUGGUCUGUAACUGACGCUGAUGUGCGAAAGCGUGGGGAUCAAACAGGAUUAGAUACCCUGGUAGUCCACGCCGUAAACGAUGAGUGCUAAGUGUUAGGGGGUUUCCGCCCCUUAGUGCUGCAGCUAACGCAUUAAGCACUCCGCCUGGGGAGUACGACCGCAAGGUUGAAACUCAAAGGAAUUGACGGGGACCCGCACAAGCGGUGGAGCAUGUGGUUUAAUUCGAAGCAACGCGAAGAACCUUACCAAAUCUUGACAUCCUUUGACAACUCUAGAGAUAGAGCCUUCCCCUUCGGGGGACAAAGUGACAGGUGGUGCAUGGUUGUCGUCAGCUCGUGUCGUGAGAUGUUGGGUUAAGUCCCGCAACGAGCGCAACCCUUAAGCUUAGUUGCCAUCAUUAAGUUGGGCACUCUAAGUUGACUGCCGGUGACAAACCGGAGGAAGGUGGGGAUGACGUCAAAUCAUCAUGCCCCUUAUGAUUUGGGCUACACACGUGCUACAAUGGACAAUACAAAGGGCAGCGAAACCGCGAGGUCAAGCAAAUCCCAUAAAGUUGUUCUCAGUUCGGAUUGUAGUCUGCAACUCGACUACAUGAAGCUGGAAUCGCUAGUAAUCGUAGAUCAGCAUGCUACGGUGAAUACGUUCCCGGGUCU